This 2063-nucleotide long non-coding RNA is filed under the name Macaca mulatta (Rhesus monkey). RNAcentral's name for it is "lncRNA (ENSMMUG00000055834.1)". Lineage: Eukaryota; Metazoa; Chordata; Mammalia; Primates; Cercopithecidae. The record is from RNAcentral.
AGAGCCGGGCAGGGCGCGAGGAGCGCGGACUCAAGACCGGCUAGGCUGCGACUGCUCAGGCUGCGAGUUCCCAGCUCUGGGGUCUCACCUUGCGGAGCUCACCCAGGCGGACUCUCCGCAGCCCCGGAUGGGUGUCUGUGUUAGUUUACUAAACACCAGGACUAUUGUAGGCGAGUGUGAGAACAGCCCAGUGAGGCUGAGGCCACACAAUUAGCCCCAGUCUUUGCACUGCAACUCUACCAGGGAUCCUCGUUUGGCUCAUUUUCUUUCUUCUGCACCAUGAUUGUUCACCUUUUCAUUACCAGCAACAUAUCCAAAGACCUAGCUGUAGACUCGUUGGAAUCUGUUACUCAGCAGCUGUGUGAAUCAAGGGUUCAAUAGGAAUAAUGAUAUUAAGAUGUAUUCAUCUUACCUUUUCAGAGCAUUAUGAAGAAUAAGUGUGGUAAGACAUAUGAAAAUGCUUUGUAAAGUGUUAGAUGCUUAAUACACAGAAGACAUUGCUUCCAGAUCUGCUUCAACAUACCCCAAGAACGGAAUAAGUGAAAUAUGCUGGUUUCAUGCACUGUGGCAAGGGGGUCUCAUCUUGGCUAGACUUGAAUAAGUGGAUUUGCUGCCUGGCCUCUAUGGAUGGCUCUUUCUCUAGGCUUUUGUGUAUUUGAUUUUUUAUUUGCUCCAGCAGCCAUAUUGAACCAUGAAAGGACCUCGGGAAUGAAACCCAUACACAGCAAAGCAACAAAAUGAAAGAGACGUGGGUUCCUAGUGCAGGACGCACCGGACCAAUCAACACCCACUGUCCUUCAGACCUCCACAUGAAAGAAAAAGUUGCUGUCCUGUCUUUCCUUCUGCAGAAGAUUUUCCCAGGCCAGCAAAAGUUGUGUCUACAAGUGUUUGCUUGCAUGUUCCUGUAAGGCUCUCUCACAAGCCAAGUGAGACUCAGGUGAGUCUCAGGUGGGACUUACUGAGACUCAGGUGAGUUUGUUGCUGGGAUGAAGAUGAGUCUUCCAGGUGGAGAUGAAGAAAGAUAACAACUAGAGACUGAUAAAGUCAGCAGAGGGGAUUCUCUCCUCUCUAAAUUUCUUUUAUCUUUCAAGGCUCCACAUAAAACUCCCUUCUUGGCCAGGCACUGUGGCUCACACCUGUAAUCCCAACACUUUGGGAGGCCAAGGUGGGCAGAUCACGAGGUCAGGAGAUCAAGACCAUCCUGGUUAACACAGUGAAAUCCUGUCUCUACUAAAAAUACAAAAAUUAGCCAGGCAUGGUGGCGGUCGCCUGUAGUCCCAGCUACUCCCAAGGCUGAGACGGGAGAAUGGCAUGAACCCAGGAGGCAGAGCUUGCAGUGAAUCGAGAUCAUGCCACUGCACUCCAGACUCAGAAGAGAGGUUUAAUUGGCUCACAGUUAUGCAGGUUGUACAAGCAUGGCACCAUCAUCUGCUCAGCUUCUGGUGAGGACCCCAGGGAGCUUUCAAUCAUGGUGAAAGGUGAAGGGGAGUCAACGUGUUACAGAGCGGGAGCAAGAAACAGGGAGAAGUGCCACACUCUUUUAAACAACCUCUUUAAACAACUAGUACGACAAGAACUCACUUAUCACCAAGGAAAUAGUGCUAAACCAUUCAUGAGGGAUCUGUCCCCAUGACCCACUCACCUCCCAGCAGACACCACCUCCAACACUGAGAAUCACAUUUCAACAUGAGAUUUGGAGGGACAAACAUCCAAACCAUAUUGGGGGAGACUGUGAAGGACCUAUGUGUAGGCUCUGCUCUUGACUUUAUUUUGUCUGUACAAUAUCAUUUUCAGUUAUUUGAAUAUCUUACUGCAUUUUACCUUAUUCCAUUAUAUAAACAAGUGGGAAAUAGGAGUUGGAAAGACUGAUUAUGAAGAUGAGAAGUAAACAACUAUAUAAAGAAUGCAGUUUUCAAAGAUAGAAACCAUUAAAUAUGCCUAAACCAAUGAUUGUUUUAGCUUUAAUUAAAGACUUGUGGGACAAAAGACUGUGGAUACAGUCUGGAGAAAAUGAACUACAUUUUAAAAAGUGCUUUUCCUUAAAAAAAAAAAAGAAAAAAAAA